UAGAGUUUGAUCCUGGCUCAGAACGAACGCUGGCGGCGUGGAUAAGACAUGCAAGUCGAACGAGACAAGGUUUGUAGCAAUACAGAUCUUGUUUAGUGGCGCACGGGUGCGUAACACGUGAGCAAUCUGCCGGAAAGUGGGGGAUAGCUCGCCGAAAGGCGAAUUAAUACCGCAUGUGGCUAGAAGGAGCCUUCCUUCGACGCUAAAGUAGCAAUACGCUUUCUGAGGAGCUCGCGGCCUAUCAGCUAGAUGGCGGGGUAACGGCCCACCAUGGCUAUGACGGGUAGCUGGUCUGAGAGGACGACCAGCCACACUGGAACUGAGACACGGUCCAGACACCUACGGGUGGCAGCAGUCGAGAAUUUUUCACAAUGGGGGAAACCCUGAUGGAGCGACGCCGCGUGGAGGACGAAGGCCUUCGGGUUGUAAACUCCUGUCAUGCGGGAACAAGAAAGUGAUAGUACCGCAAGAGGAAGAGACGGCUAACUCUGUGCCAGCAGCCGCGGUAAUACAGAGGUCUCGAGCGUUGUUCGGAUUCAUUGGGCGUAAAGGGUGCGUAGGUGGCGAUGCAAGUCUGGUGUGAAAUCUCGGGGCUUAACCUCGAAAUUGCAUUGGAUACUGCGUUGCUAGAGGAUUGUAGAGGAGAGUGGAAUUCACGGUGUAGCAGCGAAAUGCGUAGAUAUCGUGAGGAAGACCAGUUGCGAAGG
This 707-nucleotide ribosomal RNA is filed under the name uncultured Spartobacteria bacterium. RNAcentral describes it as "bacterial SSU rRNA". It matches the Rfam family "Bacterial small subunit ribosomal RNA", at positions 1 to 721 of the family's 1533-position model. Lineage: Bacteria; Pseudomonadati; Verrucomicrobiota; Spartobacteria. The record is from RNAcentral.